RNAcentral lists this ribosomal RNA (460 nucleotides) under uncultured bacterium. RNAcentral's name for it is "partial 16S ribosomal RNA". It matches the Rfam family "Bacterial small subunit ribosomal RNA", at positions 338 to 795 of the family's 1533-position model. The record is from RNAcentral.
CCUACGGGUGGCAGCAGUGAGGAAUAUUGGUCAAUGGACGCAAGUCUGAACCAGCCAUGCCGCGUGCAGGAAGACGGCUCUAUGAGUUGUAAACUGCUUUUGUACGAGGGUAAAUCCCGAUACGUGUAUCGGGUUGAAAGUAUCGUACGAAUAAGGAUCGGCUAACUCCGUGCCAGCAGCCGCGGUAAUACGGAGGAUUCAAGCGUUAUCCGGAUUUAUUGGGUUUAAAGGGUGCGUAGGCGGUUCGAUAAGUUAGAGGUGAAAUCCCGGGGCUCAACUCCGGCACUGCCUCUGAUACUGUCGGGCUAGAGUUUAGUUGCGGUAGGCGGAAUGUAUGGUGUAGCGGUGAAAUGCAUAGAGAUCAUACAGAACACCGAUUGCGAAGGCAGCUUACCAAACUACGACUGACGUUGAGGCACGAAAGCGUGGGGAGCAAACAGGAUUAGAUACCCCAGUAGUC